Saccharomyces arboricola H-6 is the source of this 206-nucleotide small nucleolar RNA. It matches the Rfam family "Small nucleolar RNA snR34". The record is from Rfam. Lineage: Eukaryota; Fungi; Ascomycota; Saccharomycetes; Saccharomycetales; Saccharomycetaceae.
GAAUCAAAAAUUUAUUUUUUACACGGAAACAAUGCCACAGUUGACUGAACCUGUCUUCCAACAGAAGUUAAUUGCCAGUGUUUCAAACAAGAUUUGAAAUACGAGUUUCCAAGAACAAUUUUAAUUUUGGACAAGAUAGGAAGUCCGAUUUCUGUGUUGUCUCAAGCGAGGCGAUAGAAUUGGGAUGUCGAAGAAAGUCUACAUUA